UGAGUAAUGUCUGGGAAACUGCCUGAUGGAGGGGGAUAACUACUGGAAACGGUAGCUAAUACCGCAUAACGUCGCAAGACCAAAGAGGGGGACCUUCGGGCCUCUUGCCAUCAGAUGUGCCCAGAUGGGAUUAGCUAGUAGGUGGGGUAAUGGCUCACCUAGGCGACGAUCCCUAGCUGGUCUGAGAGGAUGACCAGCCACACUGGAACUGAGACACGGUCCAGACUCCUACGGGAGGCAGCAGUGGGGAAUAUUGCACAAUGGGCGCAAGCCUGAUGCAGCCAUGCCGCGUGUGUGAAGAAGGCCUUCGGGUUGUAAAGCACUUUCAGCGAGGAGGAAGGUGGUGAACUUAAUACGUUCAUCAAUUGACGUUACUCGCAGAAGAAGCACCGGCUAACUCCGUGCCAGCAGCCGCGGUAAUACGGAGGGUGCAAGCGUUAAUCGGAAUUACUGGGCGUAAAGCGCACGCAGGCGGUUUGUUAAGUCAGAUGUGAAAUCCCCGGG
This 504-nucleotide ribosomal RNA is filed under the name uncultured bacterium. Its description in RNAcentral is "bacterial SSU rRNA". It matches the Rfam family "Bacterial small subunit ribosomal RNA", at positions 107 to 607 of the family's 1533-position model. The record is from RNAcentral.